This 348-nucleotide unclassified non-coding RNA is filed under the name soil metagenome. RNAcentral describes it as "partial contains 5.8S ribosomal RNA, internal transcribed spacer 2, and large subunit ribosomal RNA". The stretch from base 1 to 120 matches the Rfam family "5.8S ribosomal RNA", at positions 35 to 154 of the family's 154-position model. The record is from RNAcentral.
GAUGAAGAACGUAGCAAAAUGCGAUAAGUAAUGUGAAUUGCAGAAUUCAGUGAAUCAUCGAAUCUUUGAACGCACAUUGCGCCCGCUGGUAUUCCGGCGGGCAUGCCUGUUCGAGCGUCAUUUCAACCCUCAAGCCCCCGGGUUUGGUGUUGGGGAUCGGCUCUGCCCUUCUGGGCGGUGCCGCCCCCGAAAUACAUUGGCGGUCUCGCUGCAGCCUCCAUUGCGUAGUAGCUAACACCUCGCAACUGGAACGCGGUGCGGCCAUGCCGUAAAACCCCAACUUCUGAAUGUUGACCUCGGAUCAGGUAGGAAUACCCGCUGAACUUAAGCAUAUCAAUAAGCGGAGAA